AUUGCCCUUACGGCUCAGUAACACGUAGUCAACAUGCCCAGGGGACGUGGAUAACCUCGGGAAACUGAGGAUAAACCGCGAUAGGCCAUGAUUUCUGGAAUGGUUCAUGGCCGAAAUCUAUAUGGCCCCUGGAUUGGACUGCGGCCGAUCAGGCUGUUGGUGAGGUAAUGGCCCACCAAACCUGUAACCUGUACGGGCUCUGAGAGGAGGAGCCCGGAGAUGGGCACUGAGACAAGGGCCCAGGCCCUAUGGGGCGCAGCAGGCGCGAAAUCUCUGCAAUAGGCGAAAGCUUGACAGGGUUACUCUGAGUGAUUCCCGCUAAGGGGAUCUUUUGGCACCUUUAAAAAUGGUGCAGAAUAAGGGGUGGGCAAGUCUGGUGUCAGCCGCCGCGGUAAUACCAGCACCCCGAGUGGUCGGGACGAUUAUUGGGCCUAAAGCAUCCGUAGCCGGUACUGCAAGUCUUCCGUUAAAUCCACCUGCUUAACAGUUGGGCUGCGGGGGAUACUACAGCGCUAGGAGGCGGGAGAGGCAAGCGGUACUCAAUGGGUAGGGGUAAAAUCCGCUGAUCCAUUGAAGACCACCAGUGGCGAAGGCGGCUUGCCAGAACGCGCUCGACGGUGAGGGAUGAAAGCUGGGGGAGCAAACCGGAUUAGAUACCCGGGUAGUCCCAGCUGUAAACGAUGCAGACUCGGUGAUGGGCUGGCCUUGUGCCAACCCAGUGCCGCAGGGAAGCCGUUAAGUCUGCCGCCUGGGGAGUACGGUCGCAAGACUGAAACUUAAAGGAAUUAGCGGGGGAGCAC
This 800-nucleotide ribosomal RNA is filed under the name uncultured bacterium. RNAcentral describes it as "bacterial SSU rRNA". It matches the Rfam family "Archaeal small subunit ribosomal RNA", at positions 76 to 879 of the family's 1478-position model. The record is from RNAcentral.